GAUGAACGCUGGCGGCGUGCCUAAUACAUGCAAGUCGAGCGAACAGACGAGGGGCUUGCUCCUCUGACGUUAGCGGUGGACGGGUGAGUAACACGUGGAUAACCUACCUAUAAGACUGGGAUAACUUCGGGAAACCGGAGCUGAUACCGGACAACAUGUUGAACAGCAUGGUUCAACAGUGAAAGACGGUCUUGCUGUCACUUAUAGAUGGACCCGCGCCGCAUUAGCUAGUUGGUAAGGUAACGGCUUACCAAGGCAACGAUGCGUAGCCGACCUGAGAGGGUGAUCGGCCACACUGGAACUGAGACACGGUCCAGACUCCUACGGGAGGCAGCAGUAGGGAAUCUUCCGCAAUGGGCGAAAGCCUGACGGAGCAACGCCGCGUGAGUGAAGAAGGUCUUCGGAUCGUAAAACUCUGUUAUUAGGGAAGAACUAAUGUGUAAGUAACUAUGCACGUCUUGACGGUACCUAAUCAGAAAGCCACGGCUAACUACGUGCCAGCCGCCGCCGUAA
RNAcentral lists this ribosomal RNA (513 nucleotides) under uncultured bacterium. Its description in RNAcentral is "partial 16S ribosomal RNA". It matches the Rfam family "Bacterial small subunit ribosomal RNA", at positions 28 to 523 of the family's 1533-position model. The record is from RNAcentral.